This 253-nucleotide ribosomal RNA is filed under the name uncultured bacterium. RNAcentral's name for it is "partial 16S ribosomal RNA". It matches the Rfam family "Bacterial small subunit ribosomal RNA", at positions 524 to 776 of the family's 1533-position model. The record is from RNAcentral.
UACGAAGGGGGCUAGCGUUGUUCGGAAUUACUGGGCGUAAAGCGCACGUAGGCGGAUAUUUAAGUCAGGGGUGAAAUCCCAGAGCUCAACUCUGGAACUGCCUUUGAUACUGGGGAUCUCGAGUCCGGAAGAGGUUGGUGGAACUGCGAGUGUAGAGGUGAAAUUCGUAGAUAUUCGCAAGAACACCAGUGGCGAAGGCGGCCAACUGGUCCGGUACUGACGCUGAGGUGCGAAAGCGUGGGGAGCAAACAGG